UGUGACGUUGAAAAUUAUAAUUUACCUUUUUUUAGACAUGCUCAUUAACCGUAAUGCUAAUGGAUUUUCCACAUCAAUUUACCGAAAAAAGACGUCCACUGGUCUCCUUACACACUUUAAUAGCUUUAUCCCAUUUACAAAUAAACGAAACCUUGUUACAUGCUUACUAAAC
This is a long non-coding RNA of Limulus polyphemus (Atlantic horseshoe crab), 172 nucleotides long. RefSeq lists it as uncharacterized. Lineage: Eukaryota; Metazoa; Arthropoda; Merostomata; Xiphosura; Limulidae. The transcript is spliced from 3 exons. The record is from RefSeq and is a predicted model, not a curated record.